AUUUGAAACGCUGGCGGCAGGCCUUAACACAUGCAAGUCGAGCGGUAACAGAUCCAGCUUGCUGGAUGCUGACGAGCGGCGGACGGGUGAGUAAUGCAUAGGAAUUUGCUCGAUAGUGGGGGAUAACCUGGGGAAACCCAGGCUAAUACCGCAUACGUCCUACGGGAGAAAGGGGGCUCCGGCUCCCGCUAUGGGAUGAGCCUAUGUCGGAUUAGCUAGUUGGUGAGGUAACGGCUCACCAAGACCACGAUCCGUAGCUGGUCUGAGAGGAUGAUCAGCCACAUCGGGGCCGAGACACGGCCCGAACUCCUACGGGAGGCAGCAGUGGGGAAUAUUGGACAAUGGGGGCAACCCUGAUCCAGCCAUGCCGCGUGUGUGAAGAAGGCCCUCGGGUUGUAAAGCACUUUCAGCGAGGAAGAACGCCUAGCGGUUAAUACCCGCUAGGAAAGACAUCACUCGCAGAAGAAGCACCGGCUAACUCCGUGCCAGCAGCCGCGGUAAUACGGAGGGUGCAAGCGUUAAUCGGAAUUACUGGGCGUAAAGCGCGCGUAGGUGGCUUGAUAAGCCGGUUGUGAAAGCCCCGGGCUCAACCUGGGAACGGCAUCCGGAACUGUCAAGCUAGAGUGCAGGAGAGGAAGGUAGAAUUCCCGGCGUAGCGGUGAAAUGCGUAGAGAUCGGGAGGAAUACCAGUGGCGAAGGCGGCCUUCUGGACUGACACUGACACUGAGGUGCGAAAGCAUGGGUAGCAAACAGGAUUAGGUACCCUGGUAGUCCACGCCGUAAACGAUGUCGACCAGCCGUUGGGUGCCUAGCGCACUUUGUGGCGAAGUUAACGCGAUAAGUCGACCGCCUGGGGAGUACGGCCGCAAGGUUAAAACUCAAAUGAAUUGACGG
Molecule: ribosomal RNA, 894 nt
Filed under: uncultured bacterium
Lineage: Bacteria
Description: bacterial SSU rRNA
Rfam family: Bacterial small subunit ribosomal RNA
Source: RNAcentral